GUUUACGGCCAUACACACUCUGGUUAGUACUCAGAUGGGAGACCACCUGGGAAUGCCAGGUGCUGCAAGCU
RNAcentral lists this ribosomal RNA (71 nucleotides) under Amphilophus citrinellus (Midas cichlid). Lineage: Eukaryota; Metazoa; Chordata; Actinopteri; Cichliformes; Cichlidae. The record is from RNAcentral.